Molecule: ribosomal RNA, 403 nt
Filed under: uncultured bacterium
Lineage: Bacteria
Description: bacterial SSU rRNA
Rfam family: Bacterial small subunit ribosomal RNA
Source: RNAcentral
UGGGGAAUAUUGGACAAUGGGCGCAAGCCUGAUCCAGCCAUGCCGCGUGAGUGAUGAAGGCCUUAGGGUUGUAAAGCUCUUUCACCCGGGACGAUAAUGACGGUACCGGGAGAAGAAGCCCCGGCUAACUUCGUGCCAGCAGCCGCGGUAAUACGAAGGGGGCUAGCGUUGUUCGGAAUCACUGGGCGUAAAGCGUACGUAGGCGGACCGUUAAGUCGGAGGUGAAAUCCUGGGGCUCAACCCCAGAACUGCCUUCGAUACUGGCGGUCUCGAGUCCGGAAGAGGUGAGUGGAACUGCCAGUGUAGAGGUGAAAUUCGUAGAUAUUGGCAAGAACACCAGUGGCGAAGGCGGCUCACUGGUCCGGUACUGACGCUGAGGUACGAAAGCGUGGGGAGCAAACAG